Long non-coding RNA from Lutra lutra (Eurasian river otter), 473 nucleotides. RefSeq lists it as uncharacterized. Lineage: Eukaryota; Metazoa; Chordata; Mammalia; Carnivora; Mustelidae. The transcript has 3 exons. The record is from RefSeq and is a predicted model, not a curated record.
AAAGACAGAGUUUGAAGGGCCAGAAGCUGAACUCUGGGAGGUGAAGGUACUAGUCUGAUUUCCAUUUUCCUGAGGUGAUGGACUUUGAGGUAAAAGCUCCUGAAGUUGACACAGAGUUGCUAAUAAUACCCAGUGCAGUGAACGUCCUUUAUUUAACAUGAGCUGAGCCACCAAUGGGUUAAUACAUGGAAAAUCAAACCAGAAGCAGAAAACAGACAAUUUCCAUUCUACUACAACAAAAGGAUUUUAGUUUAUAUCCUUACUCUGUAAAACUGUGUCUGGAAGAAUCACUUUGAAGACCUUGUGAGGAAUAUUCAAUUUCUUGCAGUGUUUAGUCCAACAGGAGUUUUCUACAAAAUUAUAUUCCACCACAAAUGAGAAGUUACUCCAGGGGAAAUCUGAUCCAAUAUAUUGAUUAUGCACAACUACACAGGAACUUUUACUGAAGACAAAAUAAAGCCAAGAAAAUGGAA